Hemicordylus capensis (graceful crag lizard) is the source of this 773-nucleotide long non-coding RNA. RefSeq lists it as uncharacterized. Lineage: Eukaryota; Metazoa; Chordata; Lepidosauria; Squamata; Cordylidae. The record is from RefSeq and is a predicted model, not a curated record. The transcript is spliced from 4 exons.
GGCAUGGACAUUUUUACGUGAAAGGAGCAUUCAAAAAUUCUCCCACCAGCUAUCAGAAGUGGUAUAAUCCAGAUUUCUACUCCCUCAUGCCAAGUCAGCCCCCGCUGAUGAGCUCUGCUGCCUCAUAAGAGCUGCAUAACAGGCAGAAAAUCAAGCACUACAUGCUUUCCCAUCAUAAUGAUAGGAAAGGGGCAAUGGAACCCAUAUAUAUAGACAACGAUGAUGGGCUGACAAAAGUGCAAUGACUUAGCAAGAAUGCCAAGGUCAAGAUGAGGGCCCUUCCUCUUGAGAACAGGGACUGGAGUGAUGGAGUGUUUGAAAGGAGGCGGAUGGAGAGAGAAAGAAGAUGGGGAUGCCUUAUGGUAGCCAUUAAGGCUACCAUAAAAUGUAGAGGGCAUUGCACCCUUUCACCACAGAGAAAUAUGUCAGAUCUAUCUAUGUUUCCCAGAGACACUGUCCACACAACCAUAUGCCUUGCACUUAAGCUGCUUUAAUCAUUCCUGGGAUUUUUUUUAGGGGAUUCUUUAACCAUGAAAGUUAAAGUGUAGAAACAACUUUAAGUCUUUACUGUGGCUAUGUUCUCAAGGAUGUCAAAUUCUGCACUAAAAUUACCCUCCAAAUCCAAAUACAUUGUAAACAUCUGGAUAUGUGCAGAAUAUACUGUGGCCAUGGCUUUCAGUAUUCAUGUACCUAUUCUAAACACAAAGUUUUAUGACUCUUCCCCCUAUAGUGUCAUUUCUGGAUUGUUUCUGGACUUAAAUUAUUUUGAACAA